Molecule: long non-coding RNA, 1283 nt
Organism: Aethalodelphis obliquidens (Pacific white-sided dolphin)
Lineage: Eukaryota; Metazoa; Chordata; Mammalia; Artiodactyla; Delphinidae
Exons: 3
Source: RefSeq, a predicted model, not a curated record
CUUUUGACCAGCUGGUCUCUUUCAUAAUACAUCUUGAGUGUGGGGCUGGUCUACGCUUCAGUGUGUUCCCAAGGUCUGACUCAAGAUCUGACACAUGCUGAAUAAGUGUUGGAGGACGGACUGGAUCUUCCUUGUCAUGGGGAAGUAUCUUUUUUCACUCCUUCAUCCCCUCAACAAAUACUUCCUGAGGACCUACCAUGUAUCAAGCAUACGAAGUACAGUCUAGGCCCAGAGAAUACAGCAAUUCUCAAAUGCCUGCUCUCAGGAGCUUCCACGCUAGUGCUGGCAUAGCAGAAGUGACCAAGAAGACUGAGUUUUGAGUGAGAGACAUACAUUAUAAAAUACAUACAAGUGACGGACAAAGGCUCCCAGCACUCGCAAGUGAGCAUUUCCUCUGAACGUCUCAUGGAGCCUCAAGCUCAGUCCACACAGAACCAGCUCCUCGUUUUCUCUCCAGUCUCAGAGAAUUGAGAUUCACGCCAGCCACCAUCACCACAUCCCCCGGAUGCUGCAGAGCCUUCUCGCCAAACCCCGUGAGUCUGCUCUGGACACGGUCCCCUUUCCCGUCCCACCCCGAUGCUCUGCAAAGGACACCCACCCUGUUCAGAUCCAAAGAUGAAUGUCCUAGCAUGAGAGGAAUGUCAGAAACGCCUCACUGCCUAGCCCAUAGUCCUGAUUCUGCGAGUUGGAAGGAUGAAGGUUGAUGCUGGGUAACUAUCUAGAAUGAUGGAGUAGGGUGUAGGGAAUAAGUUUUGGAGUUAGACACACCUGGCUUCAAAUCUCAAAUCUCUCACUGCCUUGCUCUGUGACCUAGGACACAUCAACAUCUUUGGUCCUUGGUUUUCUCAUCUGUAAAAAGGGAUAAUGACACUGAGCUCUGUGGCACAGACUCUCUUGGCCUAAAUACUACAUACCAUAGAGAAAAAAUAAUGUAAGCCAUGAAUAGCACUCACACAUAAUGAGUUCUCAGUAAAUGGUAAUGAGCUAAAAAGAUUAUUUUCAGAUAGUAAGUCUUUUUCUCCUUAGUGAAAACUACCAUUCCUAUAGAAUCCUGGUCCUGCUCCGGAUGAAACACUUCAUUACUGGAAAGUUCAGAUGCCUGUAUAACCUUCUCUAAAUUGAUCACAUUUUUGUGUGGAGAUAAUCUAACCCCCCUUCUAGUGUAACUGAGAUGGAAGAUCCUUUCUGUUCCUAACAUGUGAGAGCCAGUUAUCUCUAGCUUUUUUAGGCUUUGAGCUUCUUUUUUUGUUUCGUUUAAUUUAUAAAUUUAUUUAUUUUAUUUU